This 230-nucleotide ribosomal RNA is filed under the name uncultured microorganism. RNAcentral's name for it is "partial 16S ribosomal RNA". It matches the Rfam family "Bacterial small subunit ribosomal RNA", at positions 524 to 753 of the family's 1533-position model. The record is from RNAcentral.
GACGUAGGGCGCGAGCGUUGUCCGGAUUUAUUGGGCGUAAAGAGCUCGUAGGCGGCUUGUCGCGUCGACUGUGAAAACCCGCAGCUCAACUGCGGGCCUGCAGUCGAUACGGGCAGGCUAGAGUUCGGUAGGGGAGACUGGAAUUCCUGGUGUAGCGGUGAAAUGCGCAGAUAUCAGGAGGAACACCGGUGGCGAAGGCGGGUCUCUGGGCCGAUACUGACGCUGAGGAG